CCUUUGUGAAAAUUAAUCCUCCAAAGAUAUGAAGUUUAGAAUAUGCAGUGAAAUGAUUGAUCAUUAUUGCCGGUUGCAGGUUCAACUUACAGACAAAGAAGGCUCAGCCGAUCGAAAAGUACCCGUGCAGCCUUUAGUUUUUUAUUCAAAGGAUGGGAAAGUCACCCGUUUAUAAUUUACGAAAGUUCGGAGAGCUCCCAUACCAUUUUGUGCGAUCUCGGCGUUUUCAAGAUUUGUACAAAAAUGUUCUUUUCAACUACCAGUGGUUGCACGCCAAACUGUCUUCAUGUCCUCUUCAAGCUGUUUUAAGUGAUUUGAAGACGCGUGCAUGAAUAUUGAGGAUAAAGAGGCAACUCGGUAAGAAAUUUUUUUUAACUUUUUUCCUUUUGAAAUGAAACCCAAGGGCUUUUGUUGGUCAUAGGCUCAACCAUAGUGACUGAUUGACGCGUUAAAAUAUUUUAGUUAAAGAAAAAGAAGCUUUACUAUCUAAAAAUUUGAAUAAAAUGAAAUUAACGUAUUAAAAUUUAAAAUAGAUAAAGUUCUAAGUUUUUGCAAAGACUAAUUUCUAAAAAUCCGACUAUUUAAUCAAUCGAAUCUCAAAAAGUCGUAGUCUAUCUCAAAAAUAUAAGUGUUACUAACAGCCGUGCUGUAAACGACCGUGUUAGUGAGUAAAAUGGUACCACGUCGACACCAACAUCGAGACUUUAACGCAAAGUAGAAAAAGCGCCGAGGCCCCCAGCUAAAAAAACAGUCAUAGCCCGUCUCGAAUAUGAAUUUUACGAACUUUAUGCAAAAUACGACCAUAUUGGUGAGCGGAACGUUGUAUCAUGUUGACGCCAACAUGGAAACUUUAACGGAGAGUAUAAAAAAAGUAACGCGUUGAUUGCUCUCCUUGCGUGUCAUUCUGUUGAGUCCGCCUUCAAUUAUUGUGAUGGCAAUACGCGCGGCGUGAGAGUACGAAUAGUUGCACGCCGCGCCGCGUCAUGAUGUUGCCACUUUCGUGAUCAGUCCGGGCAAGGACCAGUAGUCUCCCAAGAUGUUUAAAAAAUUACGUCGACCGCUCUUUUACAGAGCGGAACUUUCCUCAACAUGUUUAACUUUUUGCACAGCCUUUAUCCCCGUGUUUUGUACAUACACCGUUAUUGUUGAGGCAUUUUAAAAGACACCAGGUAGCGAAUAGCUUCAAAUUCCCUCAUAUUUUAUACCAAAAUUUUGGAGAUAUCGUUUCACUUUAUUUUGUAGCGAACUUUUCUAAAUGUGCCGUAUAGAUCGUAUUCGAUACAUCAAACGGGUGAGAUUGUAUCGAUAUCGAUUGGUUUAAAACAUAAACAUAACCUUAAAAGUCAAUUCAGAAAUCUGAGGGAACUGGUCUUUUGAAAUAGAUUUUUCAUUCUG
This 1395-nucleotide long non-coding RNA is filed under the name Bemisia tabaci. Its description in RNAcentral is "lncRNA ENSSWEETPG012884". Lineage: Eukaryota; Metazoa; Arthropoda; Insecta; Hemiptera; Aleyrodidae. The record is from RNAcentral.